This 290-nucleotide ribosomal RNA is filed under the name uncultured Streptococcaceae bacterium. RNAcentral describes it as "partial 16S ribosomal RNA". It matches the Rfam family "Bacterial small subunit ribosomal RNA", at positions 505 to 795 of the family's 1533-position model. Lineage: Bacteria; Bacillati; Bacillota; Bacilli; Lactobacillales; Streptococcaceae. The record is from RNAcentral.
GUGCCAGCAGCCGCGGUAAUACGUAGGUCCCGAGCGUUAUCCGGAUUUAUUGGGCGUAAAGCGAGCGCAGGCGGUUAGAUAAGUCUGAAGUUAAAGGCUGUGGCUUAACCAUAGUACGCUUUGGAAACUGUUUAACUUGAGUGCAGAAGGGGAGAGUGGAAUUCCAUGUGUAGCGGUGAAACGCGUAGAUAUAUGGAGGAACACCGGUGGCGAAAGCGGCUCUCUGGUCUGUAACUGACGCUGAGGCUCGAAAGCGUGGGGAGCAAACAGGAUUAGAUACCCUGGUAGUC